GACGAACGCUGGCGGCGUGCUUAACACAUGCAGGUCGAACGGAAAGGCCCUGCUUUUGUGGGGUGCUCGAGUGGCGAACGGGUGAGUAACACGUGAGUAACCUGCCCUUGACUUUGGGAUAACUUCAGGAAACUGGGGCUAAUACCGGAUAGGAGCUCCUGCUGCAUGGUGGGGGUUGGAAAGUUUCGGCGGUUGGGGAUGGACUCGCGGCUUAUCAGCUUGUUGGUGGGGUAGUGGCUUACCAAGGCUUUGACGGGUAGCCGGCCUGAGAGGGUGACCGGCCACAUUGGGACUGAGAUACGGACCAGACUCCUACGGGAGGCAGCAGUGGGGAAUAUUGCACAAUGGGCGGAAGCCUGAUGCAGCAACGCCGCGUGCGGGAUGACGGCCUUCGGGUUGUAAACCGCUUUCGCCUGUGACGAAGCGUGAGUGACGGUAAUGGGUAAAGAAGCACCGGCUAACUACGUG
Molecule: ribosomal RNA, 468 nt
Filed under: uncultured bacterium
Lineage: Bacteria
Description: partial 16S ribosomal RNA
Rfam family: Bacterial small subunit ribosomal RNA
Source: RNAcentral